CUCGACACCAUCAUCUCAAAAUCUUCAAGCAUCAGUUUAUUAAUCAAUGCAGUUCAAGCAUCAGUCUCUUACUUAAAUAUGCUCCCUUUCCACUUCUCAACCAAUGAUUCGGUAAUACAACUAAUUUCCAUCAUGAAUCCCUUGCACAAUAUUUAUGCUGCAUGCCAAGUUGCUUCAAUUAAAUGCACGAACCUUCAAAACCCUAUACAUACACAAAAGAACAAACUUUUGAUUUUACAUGCUUCAUCAAAACCUCUUCAAAUAUACAUAAAUAUAUAAGGCUUUUGGGGAGGAGUCAGGGAAAUUGACAAACUCUUUCAACCAAACCCACCAAAGCGCGCAUUUACACAAACAGAAACCCGACAUCACAAAUAUCUACUAAUUAUCCAAACAAAACUAAAAAUCAAGACUGCCCGAAAUCAUUGCACCAAGAAAACAAAUGAUUAUAUAACCUACAUACCUGAGGGAGCCACCAGGGGAAUUGACGAAAAGUCGAAUAUCCUUAAUGGGGUCCUAAGCAUCAAGCAAGAGAAGCUGGCUAAUAAGAGCAUCAGCAAGAAAAUCAUCAACCUGAUUUCCCAAGAAGACAAUCCUCUCCUUGAGCAACAAACCCAUGGCGUCCGUCUCGU
This 629-nucleotide long non-coding RNA is filed under the name Olea europaea subsp. europaea. Lineage: Eukaryota; Viridiplantae; Streptophyta; Magnoliopsida; Lamiales; Oleaceae. The record is from RNAcentral.